Long non-coding RNA from Pygocentrus nattereri (red-bellied piranha), 1079 nucleotides. NCBI's taxonomy places the organism in Eukaryota, Metazoa, Chordata, Actinopteri, Characiformes, Serrasalmidae. The record is from Ensembl.
ACACAAUUUGUCUUCUGUAUUUUGAUAUCAUACCAGUACCAGCUUUCAUUUGUAAAGCCGUUUAUGUGACGUUGCGGGGAAACGGGGAGAGAGGACGAGCGGAUUCAGUUUAUGAGUUUGAUGUAAUAAAAUGCAAAUAGAAGAUAACUAUUAAAGAAACAUAUUUUCUAAUUUUUGCAGUGCAUGGUUGAUUGGAAGUUUUUUGUUUCGUAUUUUGUAGGAGGCGUUUUGUUUUUUGCUUAUUACUAUUAUGCAUAAUCAUUAUUAGAGUUACAACUAUUAUUAUCAUUAUUAUUAUUCUUAUUAUUACCAAGCCAGAGUCUCUGCUGACUUUUUUCCUAAUCAAACUUUAAUUGUAGCAUGCCUUGAAUAAAUGUCAUGACAUCUGUACUUUCCUCAGUCCUCUGUCUCUUCGUCUCUUUCUCUUUGGGUUUGUGUCAGAUGCUGUAGGCCUGGACCCACGUCCAGCACUGCACAGCUUGUCCUGGAACUGACUGGGUCAGUGAAAGCACUCUAAGCCGAGUCAUUUUCAUCCUUCCAGUGCGUUCAGGGAGCAGUGCACUGGAGUGAAGUCCAGGCUCUAACUGUACCGCUGUCUUUCUCUUGCUUUUUCUUUAACUGCUACAGCCGCUAACUCGCAACAGAGGCCAGUCUCAGGCCUGGAGGGCUGCAACAGGGGUGCUGGAACCUAUCCCGGCGUUCACUGAAGGAAGGCAAGAAAUACCCUGGACAGGUUGCCAGUCCAUUACAGCGUAUGUGAACAAUCAAAAUGAAAUAAAAGUAAUUAUAUUUAUAGUUUUUGACAAUUUUUUUUUAAACUGGUGUUUUACAUUUUACUGGAUCUUUUUGUCUGUUCCAUCUCAUCAAAACAAAAUAUUGUGAUACUACUUUGUAUAUCAUGAACAUGUAUUGAAGUAUUUUGAUGUUGUCAUAUUGCCCACCCCCAUGAUGGGCUAAAUUCUGAAAUCCAGCAAUGGUGUUUAUAUACACUGUAGCAGCUUAAGACAGUGCUCACUGCAAGGCUUUGGAAUAAUCAGCAGACCUGCACAAUAUAUAAUUUGUGCGUGUGUGUGCGCGCG